RNAcentral lists this long non-coding RNA (368 nucleotides) under Linum usitatissimum (flax). Its description in RNAcentral is "long non-coding RNA (LUSI_LNC001741)". Lineage: Eukaryota; Viridiplantae; Streptophyta; Magnoliopsida; Malpighiales; Linaceae. The record is from RNAcentral.
AAGGUGGUCCCUGGCUGGCAUUUUUAACGGUGAGGGGGACGGCGUGAUAGGCUCGGGGGGCUCUGGCUGCUUGACACGUGGGAGGCUGUGAAUGAAUAGGAACACCGAACUGGUGACGACGGUGCGGCGGUUUUAGUUUUGAGCUUUUGUGGGUUUGAGUUAUUGGGCUGUUGUGCUCUUCUUUUUGGGCUUUGCAAAGUUUGCUCUUUUUGUUUCAUAAUUAGUUAAUUCUUGUUGUUGGAGUGGGUAUAGGGGGGAUAAUUUGUAGAGACUAAUGGCGUUUGUAAAUGAAGACGAUACUAAAAGUUAGACAAAGGAGAAGAGGAAUUACUUUGCAUAAUAGUUGUACAUAGUGAUAGAUUGUGUAA